Molecule: ribosomal RNA, 189 nt
Filed under: Polaromonas sp. 24-63-21
Lineage: Bacteria; Pseudomonadati; Pseudomonadota; Betaproteobacteria; Burkholderiales; Comamonadaceae
Also listed under: 1 other name
Description: partial 16S ribosomal RNA
Rfam family: Bacterial small subunit ribosomal RNA
Source: RNAcentral
AUUAAACUAAAGAGUUUGAUCCUGGCUCAGAUUGAACGCUGGCGGCAUGCCUUACACAUGCAAGUCGAACGGUAGAGUAGCAAUACUCGAGAGUGGCGAACGGGUGAGUAAUAUAUCGGAACGUGCCCAGUCGUGGGGGAUAACGUAGAGAAAUUUACGCUAAUACCGCAUACGAUCUAAGGAUGAAAG